Molecule: ribosomal RNA, 213 nt
Filed under: Thraustochytriidae sp.
Lineage: Eukaryota; Bigyra; Thraustochytrida; Thraustochytriidae
Description: Thraustochytriaceae sp. partial small subunit ribosomal RNA
Rfam family: Eukaryotic small subunit ribosomal RNA
Source: RNAcentral
ACACUGUUCAUGUGGGCAGCAGCACAUGAGAAAUCAAAGUCUUUGGGUUCCGGGGGGAGUAUGGUCGCAAGGCUGAAACUUAAAGGAAUUGACGGAAGGGCACCACCAGGAGUGGAGCCUGCGGCUUAAUUUGACUCAACACGGGAAAACUUACCAGGUCCAGACAUAGGAAGGAUUGACAGAUUGAGAGCUCUUUCUUGAUUCUAUGGGUGG